UGACACCCCGAUCGUGGUUAGUGGAGACACUUACCGUCAGUUUGGCUGGAUCGGAGACAGGUGCUGCAUGGCUGUCGUCAGCUCGUGUCGUGAGAUGUUGGNUAAAUCCCGCAACGAGCGCAACCCUCGCUCUUAGUUGCCAUCAUUCAGUUGGGCACUCUAAGGGGACUGCCGGUGAUAAGCUGGAGGAAGGUGGGGAUGACGUCAAGUCCUCAUGGCCCUUACGGGCUGGGCUACACACGUGCUACAAUGGUGGUGACAGUGGGCAGCGAGACCGCGAGGUUGAGCUAAUCUCCAAAAACCAUCUCAGUUCGGAUUGCACUCUGCAACUCGGGUGCAUGAAGUUGGAAUCGCUAGUAAUCGUGGAUCAGCAUGCCACGGUGAAUACGUUCCCGGGCCUUGUACACACCGCCCGUCACACCAUGGGAGUUGGCUUACCCGAAGGUGCUGUG
Molecule: ribosomal RNA, 452 nt
Filed under: uncultured Hyphomicrobiales bacterium
Lineage: Bacteria; Pseudomonadati; Pseudomonadota; Alphaproteobacteria; Hyphomicrobiales
Description: bacterial SSU rRNA
Rfam family: Bacterial small subunit ribosomal RNA
Source: RNAcentral